CCGCCAGAAAACUACGAGCGAAAAGCUUAAAACUCAAAGGACUUGACGGUGCUCCACACCCGACUUAGAGGAGCCUGUCCUAUAAUCGAUACUCCACGCUAAACCCCACCACUCAUUGCCGAAACAGCCUAUAUACCGCCGUCGCCAACUUACCCCAUGAGGGCUUAACAGUAAGUACAAUAGCUAACUAACUAAAACGUCAGGUCAAGGUGUAGCUAAUAGAGUGGUAGAGAUGGGCUACAUUUUUU
RNAcentral lists this ribosomal RNA (248 nucleotides) under Phrynosoma ditmarsi. RNAcentral's name for it is "partial 12S ribosomal RNA". It matches the Rfam family "Bacterial small subunit ribosomal RNA", at positions 869 to 1235 of the family's 1533-position model. Lineage: Eukaryota; Metazoa; Chordata; Lepidosauria; Squamata; Phrynosomatidae. The record is from RNAcentral.